This 459-nucleotide ribosomal RNA is filed under the name uncultured bacterium. RNAcentral's name for it is "partial 16S ribosomal RNA". It matches the Rfam family "Bacterial small subunit ribosomal RNA", at positions 338 to 795 of the family's 1533-position model. The record is from RNAcentral.
CCUACGGGUGGCAGCAGUGAGGAAUAUUGGUCAAUGGGCUAAGGCCUGAACCAGCCAAGUCGCGUGAGGGAAGACGGUCCUAUGGAUUGUAAACCUCUUUUGUCGGGGAGCAACGAGGCCACGUGUGGCCGAAGUGAGAGUACCCGAAGAAACAGCAUCGGCUAACUCCGUGCCAGCAGCCGCGGUAAUACGGAGGAUGCGAGCGUUAUCCGGAUUUAUUGGGUUUAAAGGGUGCGUAGGCGGACUGUUAAGUCAGCGGUAAAAGCCCGGGGCUCAACCCCGGCGAGCCGUUGAAACUGGCUGUCUUGAGAUGUCGAGAGGUAUGCGGAAUGCGCAGUGUAGCGGUGAAAUGCUUAGAUAUUGCGCAGAACUCCGAUUGCGAAGGCAGCAUACCGGCGGCGAUCUGACGCUGAGGCACGAAAGCGUGGGUAUCGAACAGGAUUAGAUACCCCAGUAGUC